CGGAGGAUCCAAGCGUUAUCCGGAAUCAUUGGGUUUAAAGGGUCCGUAGGCGGUUUAGUAAGUCAGUGGUGAAAGCCCAUCGCUCAACGGUGGAACGGCCAUUGAUACUGCUAAACUUGAAUUAUAAGGAAGUAACUAGAAUAUGUAGUGUAGCGGUGAAAUGCUUAGAUAUUACAUGGAAUACCAAUUGCGAAGGCAGGUUACUACUUAUGGAUUGACGCUGAUGGACGAAAGCGUGGGGAGCGAACAGGAUUAGAUACCCUGUAGUCCACGCCGUAAACGAUGGAUACUAGCUGUUCGGAGCAAUCUGAGUGGCUAAGCGAAAGUGAUAAGUAUCCCACCUGGGGAGUACGUUCGCAAGAAUG
This 365-nucleotide ribosomal RNA is filed under the name uncultured organism. Its description in RNAcentral is "bacterial SSU rRNA". It matches the Rfam family "Bacterial small subunit ribosomal RNA", at positions 526 to 896 of the family's 1533-position model. The record is from RNAcentral.